AUUGAACGCUGGCGGCAUGCCUUACACAUGCAAGUCGAACGGUAACAGGUCUUCGGAUGCUGACGAGUGGCGAACGGGUGAGUAAUACAUCGGAACGUGCCCGAUCGUGGGGGAUAACGAAGCGAAAGCUUUGCUAAUACCGCAUAAGAUCUAAGGAUGAAAGCAGGGGACCGCAAGGCCUUGCGCGAACGGAGCGGCCGAUGGCGGAUUAGGUAGUUGGUGGGAUAAAAGCUUACCAAGCCGACGAUCUGUAGCUGGUCUGAGAGGACGACCAGACACACUGGGACUGAGACACGGCACAGACUCCUACGGGAGGCAGCAGUGGGGAAUUUUGGACAAUGGGCGAAAGCCUGAUCCAGCCAUGCCGCGUGCAGGAUGAAGGCCUUCGGGUUGUAAACUGCUUUUGUACGGAACGAAAAGACUCUUUCUAAUAAAGAGGGUCCAUGACGGUACCGUAAGAAUAGGCACCGGCUAACUACGUGCCAGCCGCCGCGGUAA
This 498-nucleotide ribosomal RNA is filed under the name uncultured bacterium. RNAcentral's name for it is "partial 16S ribosomal RNA". It matches the Rfam family "Bacterial small subunit ribosomal RNA", at positions 30 to 523 of the family's 1533-position model. The record is from RNAcentral.